This 466-nucleotide ribosomal RNA is filed under the name uncultured bacterium. RNAcentral's name for it is "partial 16S ribosomal RNA". It matches the Rfam family "Bacterial small subunit ribosomal RNA", at positions 339 to 795 of the family's 1533-position model. The record is from RNAcentral.
CUACGGGGCGCACCAGUGAGGAAUAUUGCGCAAUGGGGGAAACCCUGACGCAGCGACGCCGCGUGGAUGAUGAAGGCCUUCGGGUCGUAAAAUCCUGUCAGAAGGAAAGAAGUAUAUGGUAGCUAAUAUCUGCCAUAUUUGACGGUACCUUCAAAGGAAGCACCGGCUAACUCCGUGCCAGCAGCCGCGGUAAUACGGGAGGGUGCAAGCGUUGUUCGGAAUUACUGGGCGUAAAGCGCGCGUAGGCGGCUGUUUAAGUCAGAUGUGAAAGCCCAGGGCUUAACCAUGGACGUGCAUUUGAUACUGGGCAGGUUGAGUACUGGAGGGGGUGGUGGAAUUCCCGGUGUAGAGGUGAAAUUCGUAGAUAUCGGGAGGAAUACCGGUGGCGAAGGCGACCACCUGGCCAGAUACUGACGCUGAGGUGCGAAAGCGUGGGGAGCAAACAGGAUUAGAUACCCCUGUAGUC